ACAGCUUAUAUAAACGGUAAGGUAAGUAAGCAUUUACUCGUCAAAAUGCCUGGUCAAGUCUGGUUAUCUCUCUGUGUCGUUGUACUGGUGUUCGGUCACAUAAAUGCCGGGCUUGCUGAUAUAGGGAACUUAAUAGGCGGUGCUGAAAAUCUGGCAAAUGCACUUGGAACAUCUGGGAAUGGAGAGGGUUUUGUCUGCAAUAGAUACAUGAGAUAUAACAUUUGAAAGGUACUGAAGAUA
Long non-coding RNA from Mytilus californianus (California mussel), 240 nucleotides. RefSeq lists it as uncharacterized. The record is from RefSeq and is a predicted model, not a curated record. The transcript has 3 exons. NCBI's taxonomy places the organism in Eukaryota, Metazoa, Mollusca, Bivalvia, Mytilida, Mytilidae.